This 514-nucleotide unclassified non-coding RNA is filed under the name Hevea brasiliensis (rubber tree). Lineage: Eukaryota; Viridiplantae; Streptophyta; Magnoliopsida; Malpighiales; Euphorbiaceae. The record is from RNAcentral.
GGCAUUUCUCGUAAUUACACCCAAAUAACGUGCCUCUUUGUUUGCCAUCAUUUUUAGGGAUUUUUCCGUUCUUGAACUGCCUAUUUCAGAAAAAAGGUAACCCUAACUUUUGCCCCAUUUCGUCAUUCACGAUCCUUUUUCAUCUUCUUCCUUAUAUGUUUCUAUUCUUAAUCGUCAAAUAAGGAUCAGAUUUGACGUUUAUUCCUUUUGCUGUACUGAUCGAUCCCAAUUUCAACUUUAUCCGUUUUUUCUCCCCAUUUUUAGGUUUAGGAUACACAAACUCCCGAUCUGUGGUUUUGAUCUCAAGAUCCGUGAAAACGCUUGUAAAUUAAGCCAUUUUGGGUUGCGGGUUUCGUUUAUCUCGUCAAAAUUAUUCUGAUUUUGUAAAAUUUAUUUUGGAAGCUGUUUUUGGGUUUUGAUUAAUAAGGUCUGUUUUGAUCUAUAUAUCUGCUUGAUCCCGACUUGAAUUUUUUUGCUUUUCUUUUUUUUUUUUCAUUUUGUUGGUUGGCGAGGU